UACGUAGGGGGCGAGCGUUGUCCGGAUUCAUUGGGCGUAAAGCGCUUUAAGGCGGUUCGGUAAGUCGGGUGUGAAACCUCCAGGCUCAACCUGGAGACGCCACUCGAUACUGCUGUGACUAGAGUUCGGUAGGGGAUCACGGAAUUCCUGGUGUAGCGGUGAAAUGCGCAGAUAUCAGGAGGAACACCAGUGGCGAAGGCGACUUCCUGGCCUGUUCUUGACGCUGAGGCGCGAAAGCUAGGGUAGCAAACGGG
This 254-nucleotide ribosomal RNA is filed under the name uncultured bacterium. RNAcentral's name for it is "partial 16S ribosomal RNA". It matches the Rfam family "Bacterial small subunit ribosomal RNA", at positions 524 to 776 of the family's 1533-position model. The record is from RNAcentral.